UACAGAGGGUGCAAGCGUUAAUCGGAGUUACUGGGCGUAAAGGGCGCGUAGGCGGUCAUACAAGUGAGAUGUGAAAUCCCCGGGCUUAACCUGGGAACUGCAUUUUAGACUGUAUGACUGGAGUACUGUAGAGGAUAGUGGAAUUUCCGGUGUAGCGGUGAAAUGCGUAGAGAUCGGAAGGAACACCAGUGGCGAAGGCGACUGUCUGGACAGAUACUGACGCUGAGGCGCGAAAGCGUGGGGAGCAAACAGG
Molecule: ribosomal RNA, 253 nt
Filed under: uncultured bacterium
Lineage: Bacteria
Description: partial 16S ribosomal RNA
Rfam family: Bacterial small subunit ribosomal RNA
Source: RNAcentral